This 486-nucleotide ribosomal RNA is filed under the name uncultured bacterium. Its description in RNAcentral is "bacterial SSU rRNA". It matches the Rfam family "Bacterial small subunit ribosomal RNA", at positions 35 to 541 of the family's 1533-position model. The record is from RNAcentral.
GCUGGCGGAUGCUUACACAUGCAAGUCGAACGGCAGCGCGGGGCACUGAGGUGGCGAGUUGGCGAACGGGUGAGUAAUAUAUCGGAACGUGCCCUGGAGUGGGGGAUAACGCAGCGAAAGUUGCGCUAAUACCGCAUACGAUCUAAGGAUGAAAGUGGGGGAUUCGCAAGAACCUCAUGCUCCUGGAGCGGCCGAUAUCUGAUUAGCUAGUUGGUGGGGUAAAGGCCUACCAAGGCAUCGAUCAGUAGCUGGUCUGAGAGGACGACCAGCACACUGGAACUGAGACACGGUCCAGACUCCUACGGGAGGCAGCAGUGGGGAAUUUUGGACAAUGGGGGCAACCCUGAUCCAGCAAUGCCGCGUGAGUGAUGAAGGCCUUAGGGUUGUAAAGCUCUUUUGCCAGGGACGAUGAUGACGGUACCUUGGAGAAUAAGCCCCGGUAAACUUCGUGCCAGCAAGCCGCGGUAAUACGAAGGGGGCUAGCGU